GCCUGCCCAGUGACCAUGUGUUCAACGGCCGCGGUAUUCUGACCGCGCGAAGGUAGCGUAAUCACUUGUUUUUUAAAUAAAGACUAGUAUGAAUGGCCGCACGAGGACUUAACUGUCUCCUUUGUCCAAUCAGUGAAACUGAUUUCCCCGUGCAGAAGCGAGGAUGUCCCCAUAAGACGAGAAGACCCUAUGGAGCUUUAAACUAAAUAUCAAUUAUCUUACUCACCCCUCUUUGGAUCAAACAAUCAGCCAAAUCCACUUGAUAUAAGUUUUAGGUUGGGGCGACCAUGGAGAAAAAAAAAUCCUCCCUGAUGACUUCAAACCAAGAGCUACAGCUCUAAAUAUUAAGACACUUAACUCCUAUUGACCCACUUUGUGAUCAACGAACCAAGUUACCCUAGGGAUAACAGCGCAAUCCACUUCAAGAGUCCUUAUCGACAAGUGGGUUUACGACCUCGAUGUUGGAUCAGGGCAUCCCAGUGGUGCAACCGCUACUAAAGGUUCGUUUGUUCAACGAUUAAAGCCC
This 526-nucleotide ribosomal RNA is filed under the name Megophrys zhoui. RNAcentral's name for it is "partial large subunit ribosomal RNA". It matches the Rfam family "Bacterial large subunit ribosomal RNA", at positions 1857 to 2596 of the family's 2925-position model. Lineage: Eukaryota; Metazoa; Chordata; Amphibia; Anura; Megophryidae. The record is from RNAcentral.